Oncorhynchus keta (chum salmon) is the source of this 2629-nucleotide long non-coding RNA. RefSeq lists it as uncharacterized. The record is from RefSeq and is a predicted model, not a curated record. Lineage: Eukaryota; Metazoa; Chordata; Actinopteri; Salmoniformes; Salmonidae. The transcript has 3 exons.
UUCCUGUCUGUCUUCCUGUCUGUCUCUCUCACACGCACUGGACCAUAUGUUUAAAUAAGCCCCCGUAGCUACAGAGCCUUCAAAGUAUUCAGGCCCCUUGAAUUUUUUCACCUUUUGUUACAUUAAACAUUUAUUCUAAAAUGGAUUUCAUUUAUUUUUUCCUCAUCAAACUACACACAAUACCCCAUAAUGACAUCACAAUACCCCAUAAUGACAUCACAAUACCCCAUAAUGACAAAGCGAAAACAGUUUUUUUUAUACAUUUCUGCAAAUGUAUAAAAAAAUAUGUAAAACAGAAAUACCUUAUUUCUACUUAAUACCUUACGUAUUUCAGACCCUUUGCUAUGAGACUCGACAUUGAGCUCAGGUGCAUCCUGUUUCCAUUGAUCAUCCUGGAGAUGCUUCUACAACUUGAUUAGAGUCCACCUGUGGUAAAUGUUAUUUAUUGGACAUGAUUUGGAAAGGCACACCUGUCUAUUAUAUAAGGUCCCACAAGUUGACAGUUCAUGUCAGAGCAAAAACCAAGCAAAGAGGUCGAAGGAAUUGUCCGUAGAGCUCAGAGACAGGAUUGUGUCGAGGCACAGAUCUGGGGAAGGGUACCAAAACAUUUCGGCAGCAUUGAAGGUCCCCAAGAACACAGUGGCCUCCAUCAUUCUGCAGCAUUGAAGGUCCCCAAGAACACAGUGGCCUCCAUCAUUCUUAAAUGAUCUGGGGAAGGGUACCAAAGGCUGUAAUGUAACAAAAUGUGAAAAAGUCAAGGGGUCAGAAUACUUUACGAAGGCACUGUCUCUCCAGAACAGGGAGCCCUCUUCUCCUCUCCAGAACAGGGAGCCCUCUUCUCCUCUCCAGAACAGGGUCUGACCCUAGUGUGUUUCUAGCCAGUCUGACCCUGCAUCGGUCAGGGUCUGACCCGGAAUGUACACAGGAGCCAUUUUUCAUUUGAAACACUGCUACUCCACCCAGUGUACUGUAGUCUGGUUCUACGGGUCUGAGGUACUGCUACUCCACCCAGUGUACUGUAGUCUGGUUCUACGGGUCUGAGGUACUGCUACUCCACCCAGUGUACUGUAGUCUGGUUCUACGGGUCUGAGGUACUGCUACUCCACCCAGUGUACUGUAGUCUGGUUCUACGGGUCUGAGGUACUGCUACUCCACCCAGUGUACUGUAGUCUGGUUCUACAGGUCUGAGGUACUGCUACUCCACCCAGUGUACUGUAGUCUGGUUCUACAGGUCUGAGGUACUGCUACUCCACCCAGUGUACUGUAGUCUGGUUCUACAGGUCUGAGGUACUGCUACUCCACCCAGUGUACUGUAGUCUGGUUCUACGGGUCUGAGGUACUGCUACUCCACCCAGUGUACUGUAGUCUGGUUCUACGGGUCUGAGGCACUGCUACUCCACCCAGUUUACUGUAGUCUGGUUCUACGGGUCUGAGGUACUGCUACUCCACCCAGUGUACUGUAGUCUGGUUCUACGGGUCUGAGGUACUGCUACUCCACCCAGUGUACUGUAGUCUGGUUCUGUAGGUCUGAGGUACUGCUACUCCACCCAGUGUACUGUAGUCUGGUUCUCCAGGUCUGAGGUACUGCUACUCCACCCAGUGUACUGUAGUCUGGUUCUAUAGGUCUGAGGUACUGCUACUCCACCCAGUGUACUGUAGUUUGGUUCUCCAGGUCUGAGGUACUGCUACUCCACCCAGUGUACUGUAGUCUGGUUCUACAGGUCUGAGGUACUGCUACUCCACCCAGUGUACUGUAGUCUGGUUCUACGGGUCUGAGGUACUGCUACUCCACCCAGUGUACUGUAGUCUGGUUCUACGGGUCUGAGGUACUGCUACUCCACCCAGUGUACUGUAGUCUGGUUCUACGGGUCUGAGGUACUGCUACUCCACCCAGUGUACUGUAGUCUGGUUCUCCAGGUCUGAGGUACUGCUACUCCACCCAGUGUACUGUAGUCUGGUUCUAUAGGUCUGAGGUACUGCUACUCCACCCAGUGUACUGUAGUCUGGUUCUCCACCCAGUGUACUGUAGUCUGGUUCUACAGGUCUGAGGUACUGCUACUCCACCCAGUGUACUGUCGUCUGGUUCUAUGGGUCUGAGGUACUGCUACUCCACCCAGUGUACUGUAGUCUGGUUCUACAGGUCUGAGGUACUGCUACUCCACCCAGUGUACUGUCGUCUGGUUCUAUAGGUCUGAGGUACUGCUACUCCACCCAGUGUACUGUAGUCUGGUUCUAUGGGUCUGAGGUACUGCUACUCCACCCAGUGUACUGUCGUCUGGUUCUACAGGUCUGAGGGUCUGGAUGUACUAUCCCCUCUGGCCAUCUGUUGAACCCAGCUUAACUCACUGAGCCCAGGGGGGACAGGCAUGGGGGACAGGCACGGGGAAGACCUGUCACCCAGACAGAUGUGUAGCUCACUGAGCCCAGGGGGGACAGGCACGGGGAAGACCUGUCACACAGACAGAUGUGUAGCUCACUGAGCCCAGGGGGGACAGGCAUGGGGGACAGGCACGGGGAAGACCUGUCACCCAGACAGAUGUGUAGCUCACUGAGCCCAGGGGGGACAGCCAUGGGGGACAGGCACGGGGAAGACCUGUCACCCAGACAGAUGUGUAGCUCACUGAGCCCA